RNAcentral lists this ribosomal RNA (478 nucleotides) under uncultured bacterium. RNAcentral's name for it is "partial 16S ribosomal RNA". It matches the Rfam family "Bacterial small subunit ribosomal RNA", at positions 28 to 507 of the family's 1533-position model. The record is from RNAcentral.
GACGAACGCUGGCGGCGUGCUUAACACAUGCAAGUCGAACGUGAUUUUUGUGGAAAUUCUUUCGGGAAUGGACAUGAAAUGAAAGUGGCGAACGGGUGAGUAACACGUGAGCAACCUACCUUACACAGGGGGAUAGCCGUUGGAAACGACGAUUAAUACCGCAUGAGACCACAGAAUCGCAUGAUAUAGGGGUCAAAGAUUUAUCGGUGUAAGAAGGGCUCGCGUCUGAUUAGCUAGUUGGAAGGGUAAAGGCCUACCAAGGCGACGAUCAGUAGCCGGUCUGAGAGGAUGAACGGCCACAUUGGAACUGAGACACGGUCCAAACUCCUACGGGAGGCAGCAGUGGGGAAUAUUGCACAAUGGGGGGAACCCUGAUGCAGCGACGCCGCGUGAGCGAAGAAGGUUUUCGAAUCGUAAAGCUCUGUCCUAUGAGAAGAUAAUGACGGUAGCAUAGGAGGAAGCCCCGGCUAAAUACGUG